Molecule: ribosomal RNA, 402 nt
Filed under: uncultured bacterium
Lineage: Bacteria
Description: bacterial SSU rRNA
Rfam family: Bacterial small subunit ribosomal RNA
Source: RNAcentral
UAGGGAAUAUUGCAAAAUGGGCGAAAGCCCGAUGCAGCAACGCCGCGUGGGCGAUGAAGGCCUUCGGGUCGUAAAGCCCUUUUUGAGGGGAUGAGGAAGGACAGUACCCUCAGAAUAAGCCUCGGCUAACUACGUGCCAGCAGCCGCGGUAAAACGUAGGAGGCGAGCGUUAUCCGGAUCUACUGGGCGUAAAGCGCGUGCAGGCGGAUUGGAGAGUUGGAUGUGAAAGCUCCCGGCUUAACUGGGAGAGGUCGUUCAAUACUUCCAGUCUUGAGUGCAGUAGAGGGAAGUGGAAUUCCGGGUGUAGUGGUGAAAUGCGUAGAUAUCCGGAGGAACACCAGUGGCGAAAGCGGCUUCCUGGACUGUAACUGACGCUCAGACGCGAAAGCUAGGGUAGCAAAC